GGGCCCGACUUGGCUUCGACGUGGGUGCGGAGCCGGCGCGGGGCAUGCCGAGCACCAGUACGCUCGUAAAUCCACUGGAACGAUGUAACUGCGAACGACGAACGUUUCGCCCUCGCCGCUUAACACCGGUGAGCCUCUCAACGGCAGGCCGAUGGGCCGGGCUCGAGGGUCGUAAGACCCAAUAGCUGAGAGGUCAUUCACAUCGGCUGGCGCCGUGCCGGGUCACUUGGUACGGAGCGAGAUCUAGGUGACUGGCAGGUGGGUUAGCGUGCUGCUGCGCGAAUCCACCGGCGAGAUCCAAAUCAGCCAGCUAAGCAUGUAGAACCGUCCGGUGAUGGCUUGCGGACGGGGGUUCGAUCCCCCCCGGGUCCACCA
Molecule: transfer-messenger RNA, 375 nt
Filed under: Rhodoferax sp.
Lineage: Bacteria; Pseudomonadati; Pseudomonadota; Betaproteobacteria; Burkholderiales; Comamonadaceae
Also listed under: 2 other names
Rfam family: transfer-messenger RNA
About the family: Bacterial tmRNA, also known as 10Sa RNA or SsrA, is named for its dual tRNA and mRNA-like properties. Its role is to liberate the mRNA from a stalled ribosome.
Source: RNAcentral